RNAcentral lists this long non-coding RNA (674 nucleotides) under Cyanistes caeruleus (blue tit). RNAcentral's name for it is "lncRNA (ENSCCEG00000001714.1)". The record is from RNAcentral. Lineage: Eukaryota; Metazoa; Chordata; Aves; Passeriformes; Paridae.
GCCUCCCCCGCCCGUGCCCGUCCCCGCGCGGUGUGGCCUCGCACGGCACUGCCCGCCACGGCUGGACCGGAGCGCUCGGGCGCCGCCCGCAGCGCCCGCUCUGCAUCGCACCCGGCCCGGGACGCCGGGAGUGCCCCUCGGUGCGGCCGCUACCCAGAGAGACGUGAGGACACCGGCUCCUGCCUGGCUGCCUCACCCUCCUUCAGCUGCUCCCCAUUGCUCUGCAGCAGCUCGAGGCUCAGCGACUGGACUCUGAUGUCUCUCUCUUCAGCAACAAGUACUCCGCUCUCCGCCCUCGCUCCUUGCUCUCCACGAGGAAGGUGUCGAGGACUUGUCCUCCCUUGCCCGGUGCCCGGUGCAGGAAAAGACUGAGCAACUGCUUGAAGAAGCACUUCAUCACAUUGGUGUGGAAGCUGAUACCCAUGUGUUUGUGUCUUUAUCCCUAAACUGCACGGCUCUGCAGCUCUGGAGGAGCAGGCUAGAACAUGACAAGAAAAGUUUCAAGGAAGGAGGUUAAAUUGUAUUUUAAGAAGCAGAUCCACCAGCUAGGAUGGAAACAGGGUCACUACAGCCGCUUGGAGAAGCGAAGGCCGGGGAAUCAAGUGCUCCCUGAGGGAAACCUGGUAUCACCUUCCCACUGCAGUGAGAAGGUAAACCAACCAGCCCAGAGUAUC